AGUGAACGCUGGCGGUAGGCCUAACACAUGCAAGUCGAGCGGCAGCACAGUAAGAGCUUGCUCUUACGGGUGGCGAGUGGCGGACGGGUGAGGAAUACAUCGGAAUCUACUUUUUCGUGGGGGAUAACGUAGGGAAACUUACGCUAAUACCGCAUACGACCUACGGGUGAAAGCAGGGGAUCUUCGGACCUUGCGCGAUUGAAUGAGCCGAUGUCGGAUUAGCUAGUUGGCGGGGUAAAGGCCCACCAAGGCGACGAUCCGUAGCUGGUCUGAGAGGAUGAUCAGCCACCUGGGAACUGAGACACGGUCCAGACUCCCACGGGAGGCAGAAGGGGGAAAUAUUGGAAAAGGGGCGAAAGCCUGACCCAGCCAUACCGCGGGGGUGAAGAAGGCCUGCGGGUGGUAAAGCCCUUUUUUUGGGAAAAAAAAGCAGCAGGUUAAAACCCCGCUUUUCUGACGGGCCCCAAAAAAAAAGCACCGGCAAACUUCGG
RNAcentral lists this ribosomal RNA (491 nucleotides) under uncultured bacterium. RNAcentral's name for it is "partial 16S ribosomal RNA". It matches the Rfam family "Bacterial small subunit ribosomal RNA", at positions 29 to 506 of the family's 1533-position model. The record is from RNAcentral.